CUCGUAGGUGGCCAACUAAGUCAGACGUGAAAUCCCUCGGCUUAACCGGGGAACUGCGUCUGAUACUGGAUGGCUUGAGUUUGGGAGAGGGACGCGGAAUUCCAGGUGUAGCGGUGAAAUGCGUAGAUAUCUGGAGGAACACCGGUGGCGAAGGCGGCGUCCUGGACCAACACUGACACUGAGGAGCGAAAGCCAGGGGGAGCAAAACGG
This 210-nucleotide ribosomal RNA is filed under the name uncultured bacterium. RNAcentral describes it as "partial 16S ribosomal RNA". It matches the Rfam family "Bacterial small subunit ribosomal RNA", at positions 568 to 776 of the family's 1533-position model. The record is from RNAcentral.